UACGGAGGAUGCGAGCGUUAUCCGGAUUUAUUGGGUUUAAAGGGUGCGUAGGCGGACGCUUAAGUCAGCGGUAAAAUUGCGGGGCUCAACCUCGUCGAGCCGUUGAAACUGGGUGCCUUGAGUGGGCGAGAAGUACGCGGAAUGCGUGGUGUAGCGGUGAAAUGCAUAGAUAUCACGCAGAACUCCGAUUGCGAAGGCAGCGUACCGGCGCCCUACUGACGCUGAAGCACGAAGGCGUGGGGAGCAAACAGG
RNAcentral lists this ribosomal RNA (252 nucleotides) under uncultured bacterium. RNAcentral describes it as "partial 16S ribosomal RNA". It matches the Rfam family "Bacterial small subunit ribosomal RNA", at positions 524 to 776 of the family's 1533-position model. The record is from RNAcentral.